Molecule: ribosomal RNA, 253 nt
Filed under: uncultured bacterium
Lineage: Bacteria
Description: partial 16S ribosomal RNA
Rfam family: Bacterial small subunit ribosomal RNA
Source: RNAcentral
UACGUAGGGUGCAAGCGUUAAUCGGAAUUACUGGGCGUAAAGCGUGCGCAGGCGGUUGUGCAAGACCGAUGUGAAAUCCCCGGGCUCAACCUGGGAAUGGCAUUGGUGACUGCACGGCUAGAGUGUGUCAGAGGGGGGUAGAAUUCCACGUGUAGCAGUGAAAUGCGUAGAGAUGUGGAGGAACACCGAUGGCGAAGGCAGCCCCCUGGGCUAGCACUGACGCUCAGGCACGAAAGCGUGGGGAGCAAACAGG